UAGUUAUUAAUCAGAGAAGAUAGAUUUCGAAAAAAGGUGAAGAAAAAUUAGCUGGGUACACUUGAUUACAACCCUUAUGAAUGCUUCACCUUCUCCUCUGUUUUUGGAAAAUUUCGACAUUACUUUCGAAUUGUUUUUAUGAUUUGAUUUGUCCACUUUGUAGAACUUAUCAAUUACAAUGAUUUGGUAAGGUAUCAAGUCGAUCCGAUACCUCGUGGUGUAUAAUCGAAGAAGAUAUUCGUCAAAAAAAAUCGAAAAAAAGUGAGCCGGCAGCACUUGAUUACAACUUUAAAAGAUUUUUUUCCCUCCUCCUGGUCGCAGUGAGUUAUGACAACGUCGCCAAUCCAAGUCGACCUUCACCUUCCGAUCACUGAGUCAGCCGGCAGAGGUGUGUUGGCGGCUCAGGCAAUCGGAGCUGGUGAAAUCAUCCACGCGGCCGCACCCAUAGUCUCUUAAUCUCUCUACAACAACGGGUGUUUAUAUUUGUGCCUCAUAAGUCUCAGAAACAGAACUACAUCUGCAGCCAAGAAUGUGAGGAACAAUCCGAGGUACAGUGGGUGGUUGUUGCAUCUAAUUCAAUUUCUAUUGGCGCACAUUCUAAUAGCUUUUUGGGUUUUGAUUUUUGAUUUUAUAUGGCUUACGGCAUUAGAAAUCGAUGCAAGGAGUAUGCCUCCUACGUGUUUGACAUUUGGCUUCUGGAGGAAGUCCUUUUUCGGCCUAUGUUUUUUGUGAAGUCUUUUGAUUCAAUAUUGUUACUUAGAAAAAGACUUGAAUAAAAUAUCAACUUCAGGGCUCUCGUUUGCCAGUUCAUUGAAAGAUAUGUUGGACAGAUGUGGAAAGCACAAGAUGCCUCUUAUAAACUUGAACUCCAUUUCUGAAUCCAUAGCUUUCGCGGUUGAUUGUGCAUGGUAAGGCUUCUACUAGAACCUUGUAUUCGAAAUGUGAGGUUAGACCAAUCUUUAUGUUGUACUCCUAUAAAUCUACAAGAAUCAUUGUAGACUUGGCUCUUUAUAGCUUCAGAUCAUUUAUUGGUUGCUUGUAAUGGUUUCACGAAUUGCAAUGCUUGAGAAAGACAUUUCACUAUAGAGAGGAAGAAGAUGAAUGGGGAUCUUAAAGGUGAAGGGCCAGAAAUACGAGGAUGGAGAUGAGGGAGUACAUUGUAGUAUACAUGGUAAUAUGUGUGGGUGGGACCGAAUCUUGCUACUCGUGGAGAAGAGGAGAACAUUGGGGCUUUCCUUUUUAUUUAUAGCCUAAGGGCAUCUUUUGGUCUUCAUUUGGGAGGGAAAAUGCUCAUUGACAUAAGUUUUUGCCAACUACGUGCGUAUGGCACAUGAACUGUUAAAAUGGAUGGAGACCUCUAAACCAAGCGGGGGUUAUGUGGUCAAGUUUAAACCUCAGGGGUAAAGAGCGGGUAAAAUGGACUUUUCCCAGAUUUGUUACGUAUUGUGGUCUAGUACUUUUGCACUAGACUAAUGUGCUUUCGUAAAUGUCACGUUGAAGUUGUAUGGUGUCCUGAUGAACAUUAUAAACCCCUGUUGUGUGGAGUUUAGAAUUGAUGAAACCACUAUUUGAGGUCCUCCUUGACUUUGACAUUUUUAGAAGUUAUAUACGAAUACCAUACCGGUUUUGUUCUUUAACUUGGGCCUAGUUUCUUGGAAGGUGCCUUCUUAACUUAUCCCCUUUCCCGCAACGUAAAAUGUUACAGUAGUAUUUGAAGAAGAAUGAACCAUGGUUCAGGUCGAUUUGUAAUAGGGAACAACCUGGCAAUGUGAUAUGGUUAGAAUUUAUAUAUCCAAAAGCUCUCUCUUUUGGUAUUUGCAUAUUGACUUUUUAGUCUUGAGAACAAUUUAUGAGUUAGAAAUGUUUUCUUAGAAGUUAAUUUCGGUAGAGUACCCUGGCUUUUUUCAUUCUUAAAGUAACAGGAUAGUAAGAGUUCCUUUUCGGAUUUGGAAAUCCUAUAAGAGAUGGUUUUGAAUAACACAAGUUAGGGAGACCAAUAUUUGUAGUGUGUUUGUUUCUAUAGACUUAAUCAUUUUUAGAUGUAUAUAUGUCCUUUAAGAGAGUAAUUAAGCAAUUACAAGGACCAACAUUUCUUUAUGUUGGUUUCACUUGAGUUAAAGCUUCCCAUAUUAGAAAUCAGGUUUUUGUACUUUUUUUAUCGUCAUUUAUAUGUGUUGUUUUCUCGACAUGCUGUAGUUUCUUAGCAGUAUUUCUGCAUCACUUAAUUAGUUAGCAGACUAAGUACUUUAGUUUCUAAUUGUCCUUUCCUUGGGCAACUAAACUAGCUGUGAAGAGAAGACAAUUCCAAACUUGUGUAGUCAGAAAUGUAUUGGUGUCCAGUGUCGUCUGCUGAGAAAAUUGCUUUGCUCUAUAGGCAGUUGAUUUGUAAGUAUUAUUGAGCUCAUUUCUUCCUAAAGGGCGCCAGAUUAUAUCUGUUGCCGUCUAUCCAUCUGAGUUUGGACUAAAGUGUAUGGAAGAGGAAGCAGUGCAUGGUCCAGUACUCCUAUUUGAUGACGACAAAGAGCAGAAUGAAAGUGAUGAUGAAAUCAAUGUUAAGAAACUGCAUGAAUAUGAAUUAAGUAGGCUAAGGUAAAUACCUGAUGCUGUUGCUUUUCCCAUGCAUGAGAUAUAUAGAUUAGUAUUAGCUUUGCUAGCAUACUUGUACAUAACAUCGUUUUGUUGUUUGUUCAUCUGAGAAAAUAAACUGCUGUCUUGUGCUCAAAUGAUUACUAAUGCUUCGUAUUUUUGCUCAAUUAAUCUGUGAGAUGUGAGAUACGAGUACGAAAAUUAAAACCUCUUCCUUUCUGAUGUUUUGUGGCCUUGUAAGAAAAACAUUAUGUAAACGGGAAAAAAGUUUAACCAAAAUCAUGCUUCUGCUGACAUUUUUCUGCUCUGAACUGAGGAGAGCUUUGGUGAAACUUUUGUAUUACAAAUUUGGAGGGUUUUCCAUUUUUUGUUUUAACUGGAGGAAGUUUAAACCUUUUAGUCGUUUCUUUGUAUUUUGAAGUUAUGACUACAGCAGGAUUCAUGCUUAAGAAAGAUUCCUCAAUGGAUUAUGCCUAUUUACUAAUUGGAGACGUAAAAUUUCUAGCUCUUUUUCCUUAUCUUUUUUCUGACAUACAUGCAAGGAAAUAAUCUUAUCUUGUUAUCUUAUAAAGUGUGCAACGCUCACCAUAUAAUACUUUCAUUAUGUUCAUCUUGUAAUGUUUUUCGGGUACUAUUAUGCAGUCGUGGAUUGCGAUUCCAUAGCUACUGCAGAUUAUCUUCAUAAAAGUUACGAUGGAAUUGCGUUCGAAUGAUCAUCAAAUAAGCUAGACUUGAGAUUUAUUCCGGACUCCAUGGAAUUUAAACAUCCCCCUUGUGAUGCCACAACUGAGGUAAUUUUUGCAGCUAUUAUAUGAUCUGUUUUGAAAAAAAGAACAUUGAUAUUUUCUGAUAAGCAAGUUUAGGGGAUUGGACUGAAUAAGUUUGUCAGGGAAUGCAACCGAAGCUACUAGUGGGUCCCAUUUGGGGACAGAAUAUUGAUUUUUUAAUGCUCUCAAUGUGAUUCUUGGAAAAGAUGUAGGACUGAUCCUGUAGAUGGCGGCUACUUGUGCUACAAGCCUACAAUCAUGUGUAGACGCCAAUAGAAAUUAGUAAUUGAUUUUGUUUUUUACAUCUUAAUUAGUGCUACCCCUACUAAUUGACGGAUGUUUUCAUUUAUGCUUCUAUCUCUCCUUGUCUCACCACACAUGCAUCUUAACAUUCUCAUUUUAGAGCUUUGCGUUCUCUUAGUUGCCGAAUACAAAGUUUUUUCAUAUUUUUCCUAUUGUGAUAAAAUGGCUUAAUAUCCGGUGGAUAGCUAUAGUAUUUGUGGCUUUCCAAAAUCCUUUUUCUUCUCUAUGUCAUGAAUGAUGAAUUAGUUUGUUCAUUUCCUGAUUAACUCUCCUCUUUUUAUGAACCUUCUAUCAAACUGUCUCUAUACAAUCAGUUACCAAGUCUCACUUCAAUCUUUCGUUUGUAUAUGGCUCCCCAGCCGAUGUAUAUAGAAAUCACGUUGUUUACUGUUCCAUUAAGAUAUCCAAUCGUCCUGCAAGCAGUUCGAGAUUUGUUAUUUUGAAGGCAAUAAUUGGCAUCACCGCAACCUGUACGUCUCAUGCAGCUCUUUUUCUUUCUAAUGAUAUUUUCUGUUCUUUGGUCUUCACCUAGGCUAUUGUGAGCCUGCUCUGCCUCAGAUUAACCUCAAAGUUAUUAUUUACAUUGUCAUUUCUACAUUUGGGCUAGGCCUCAGCAAACUAUGAAGGUUUAGAUUUCCAGACUUGAGCAUUACAGCGAAGUAACAUUCAUCUCACAUGGGAAGAUGAUGAGCCACAAUGCGCAAAGGCAUUAAAGAGGAAGUUUAAUAGUGACCAGAAGACAAACCUCAAAAGAAACAUAAGAAACAAGAUAUGAUCCCUCUACUCCAGUCUGGUGAAGAUUCUGAUGAGGACAAUGAAGAUGGUCAGGAUAUGGAGGAGUGCGACUUAUGCUCAGCAGUUAGCACAGAAGCAACGCAAGGGUGACCAAGAAGUACUGGGGUCAAAACAAGCUCAGUUGCCUUAUGAUGACCUAAAGACGGAAAAAAAUGAGUUUGUACAGUCUGAUGAUAUGUCCUCAAAGAAAAAAGAGAAGUAUGAACUAUCUUCGCUUGUUAGGUCAAUUAAGAUGAAGUUGAAACAAGUUCAAAUACCCACCGAUAGUAAGAUCUCAGGAAAAACUGGAAAAUCGGGAUCCAAGGCCAGAUGGUUAAAGAAGGAUGUUUUCGAUUGGUUGGCAAGGUAGGCUGGAGUUCUGCUAAAUUAAACUCUGGAAGGCAUGCUUGCUUUGGGUUUGUAAUGGAAGCAAAGCAAAAGAAAUGGAACUGGUGCUUCAAGUAACCAAGGGGCUGCACAAGAAGAGAGAGAUUAUUACUGUUUUCUUGUAAUAUGUAUUUUAGUUUUAUCAGUGAUCUAGAAUGGAUUUGCUGAAUGUUAGGAUCUUCGUUGGAAACCAGAAUUUCUAGCCUGAAAGCUAAGAUCUAGAGAAGUUGAAGCUUUCUUAUAAGAUUUUGUCUGUCGAGCACAUCUUUAAGCAAUGUAGCUGAGAAAAUUUUGAACGCAAGUUAGAUGAUUUCAUACUUUUUUUGGGUUCGGCUUAAGAGAAGAAACACUAG
Rhododendron vialii is the source of this 5170-nucleotide RNA transcript. RefSeq lists it as uncharacterized. The transcript has 3 exons. The record is from RefSeq and is a predicted model, not a curated record. Lineage: Eukaryota; Viridiplantae; Streptophyta; Magnoliopsida; Ericales; Ericaceae.